Molecule: non-coding RNA, 75 nt
Organism: Triticum aestivum (bread wheat)
Lineage: Eukaryota; Viridiplantae; Streptophyta; Magnoliopsida; Poales; Poaceae
Source: Rfam
GACCAUCAUUCACCAUGGUACUUUCCUUGUUCUGAAAUUCUCUAUUUGGAAGAAAGGGAGACCUGAACUGAGGAU